UCAGGAUGAACGCUGGCGGCGUGCUUAACACAUGCAAGUCGAACGUGAAGGCAUAGCAAUAUGUCUGAAAGUGGCGGACGGGUGAGUAACACGUGGGUGACCUGCCUCGUAGUGGGGGAUAACCAUGGGAAACUGUGGCUAAUACCGCAUGGUCUUGAUAGGCGUGGAGUCUAUCAGGUAAAGCUUUAGUGCUACGAGAGGGGCCUGCGGUCGAUUAGGUCGUUGGUGAGGUAACGGCUCACCAAGCCGAUGAUCGAUAGCUGGUCUGAGAGGACGAUCAGCCACACGGGAACUGAGAGACGGUCCCGACUCCUACGGGGGGCAGCAGUGAGGAAUAUUGGGCAAUGGGCGCAAGCCUGACCCAGCAACGCCGCGUGGAGGAUGAAGGUCUUUGGAUUGUAAACUCCUUUUGCAGGGGAAGAGAGCGGACGGUACCCUGAGAAUCAGUCACGGCUAACUACGUGCCAGCAGCCGCGGUAAUACGUAGGUGACAAGCGUUAUCCGGAAU
Molecule: ribosomal RNA, 508 nt
Filed under: uncultured bacterium
Lineage: Bacteria
Description: bacterial SSU rRNA
Rfam family: Bacterial small subunit ribosomal RNA
Source: RNAcentral